GACGAACGCUGGCGGCGUGCUUAACACAUGCAAGUCGAACGGAAAGGCCCCUUUGGGGGUCCUCGAGUGGCGAACGGGUGAGUAACACGUGAGUAACCUGCCCUUGACUUCGGGAUAACUUCAGGAAACUGGGGCUAAUACCGGAUAGGAAUCCUUGCUGCAUGGUGGGGGUUGGAAAGCUUCGGCGGUUUUGGAUGGACUCGCGGCUUAUCAGCUUGUUGGUGGGGUAGUGGCUUACCAAGGCUUUGACGGGUAGCCGGCCUGAGAGGGCGAUCGGCCACAUUGGGACUGAGAUACGGCCCAGACUCCUACGGGAGGCAGCAGUGGGGAAUAUUGCACAAUGGGCGGAAGCCUGAUGCAGCAACGCCGCGUGCGGGAUGACGGCCUUCGGGUUGUAAACCGCUUUCAGCAGGGGCGAAGCUUGUGGUGACGGUACCUGCAGAAGAAGCACCGGCUAACUACGUG
RNAcentral lists this ribosomal RNA (465 nucleotides) under uncultured bacterium. RNAcentral describes it as "partial 16S ribosomal RNA". It matches the Rfam family "Bacterial small subunit ribosomal RNA", at positions 28 to 507 of the family's 1533-position model. The record is from RNAcentral.